This 71-nucleotide transfer RNA is filed under the name Cordylochernes scorpioides. Its description in RNAcentral is "tRNA-Gly". It matches the Rfam family "tRNA". From Rfam's summary of the family: Transfer RNA (tRNA) molecules are approximately 80 nucleotides in length. Their secondary structure includes four short double-helical elements and three loops (D, anti-codon, and T loops). Further hydrogen bonds mediate the characteristic L-shaped molecular structure. tRNAs have two regions of fundamental functional importance: the anti-codon, which is responsible for specific mRNA codon recognition, and the 3' end, to which the tRNAs corresponding amino acid is attached (by aminoacyl-tRNA synthetases). tRNAs cope with the degeneracy of the genetic code in two manners: having more than one tRNA (with a specific anti-codon) for a particular amino acid; and 'wobble' base-pairing, i.e. permitting non-standard base-pairing at the 3rd anti-codon position. Lineage: Eukaryota; Metazoa; Arthropoda; Arachnida; Pseudoscorpiones; Chernetidae. The record is from RNAcentral.
CCAUCGGUGGAUCAGUGGUAGAAUGCUCUCCUGCCACGCGGACGGCCCGGGUUCGAUUCCCGGCCGAUGCA